Molecule: long non-coding RNA, 1155 nt
Filed under: Bos indicus x Bos taurus (hybrid cattle)
Lineage: Eukaryota; Metazoa; Chordata; Mammalia; Artiodactyla; Bovidae
Description: lncRNA (ENSBIXG00000016425.1)
Source: RNAcentral
UUGACUUCGCACUCCAGGAUGUCUGGCUCUAGGUGAGUGUUCAUACCAUAGUGGUUGUCUGGGCCAUUAAGAUCUUUUUUGUAGAGUUCUUCUGUGUAUUCUUGCCACCGCUUCUUAAUAUCUUCUGCUUCUGCCCUUUAUUGUGCCCAUCUUUGCAUAACAUGUUCCCUAGGUAUCUCUAAUUUUCUUGAAGAGAUCUCUAGGCUUUCCCAUUCUAUUGUUUUCCUCUAUUUCUUUGCAUUAUUCACUUAAGAAGGCUUUCUUAUCUCUCCUUGCUAUUCUUUGAACUCUGCAUUCAGACGGGUGUAUUUUUUGAGAAGAAAAAAGACCUGACAGAAUGAUAUAGUAGCGUCUUGAGAAAUUAAAAAAAAAUAAUCCUUGAAGAACCUAAUGCAAAAUAUCUUAACCUGACUAUCAUAAAAAAGGCAUCUAAGUUCAAAGACAUGUAGAAAGCAGACCUGGUCCAUAUCACACCCCAUCUAAACAAGCAGGUAAGGAUCGGAUACAGCUAUUUGUAAGUUAUAUCACCUUUUGACUUCAGACUUUUAAAAGUAUACUCUUUCACAACAGUAGAAAUAAAACUGGAUUUUGUAAUUGUGUGAUGGUUAUCACGACACCAUUAUCUAAGCUACCAAAACUUACACUCAGAGCCACAAACCCAAGUGUAUCGAUGUUCCUGAGAAUUCUCAUUGGGCAAUAAAUGAGUUAUUAUUUUAUUUAAACAUUAUGAAAUGUACUGAAUUUUUUUUCUCUUAGAUUUCCUACCGAUUCUCACAUUUAUGGAAGUGAAUAUUCCUGCAACAUUUGUGGUAGCGAUUUCCAUAUAAAUCCAGACUGUGUAAGUAACAAUGGAAAGUACCAAUGGAUACCUUCCAUUCACCGGUGACAGCCACCCAGGCCCAAGGCUAGUGGAAGGAGCCCAGGUGAGGACCCCAUGACCUGAGUACACACCUGCCCUGGUAGGGAGCCUGGCACUUCUGGAUGGCAAGAGAGAUCAAACGUGAACAGUGGAUGAAGGUGUGGUGGUCUCUGCACUUGAGAAAAUGUGGCAGGGCAUGGAGUUGUGUGCUGCAGAUAUGCCCCCAAUGACACGAGUGAUGAAUGUCAGCCAGAGGAAUCCGUAGCAUGUUGGUGACAGAAGUCGCAAUGAAGAUG